GCGGGCGUAGUACAAUGGUAGUACGCUUGGUUUCCAACCAAGAUACGUGGGUUCGAUUCCCAUCGCCCGCUCCA
Molecule: transfer RNA, 74 nt
Filed under: bacterium
Lineage: Bacteria
Description: tRNA-Gly
Rfam family: tRNA
About the family: Transfer RNA (tRNA) molecules are approximately 80 nucleotides in length.
Source: RNAcentral